RNAcentral lists this ribosomal RNA (253 nucleotides) under uncultured bacterium. Its description in RNAcentral is "partial 16S ribosomal RNA". It matches the Rfam family "Bacterial small subunit ribosomal RNA", at positions 524 to 776 of the family's 1533-position model. The record is from RNAcentral.
UACGGGGGGGGCUAGCGUUAUUCGGAAUCAUUGGGCGUAAAGGGCGCGUAGGCGGCGCGGUAAGUCAAAGGUGAAAUCCCUCGGCUCAACUGAGGAACUGCCUUUGAAACUGCCGUGCUUGAGUCCGGGAGGGGGUAGCGGAAUUCCCAGUGUAGCGGUGAAAUGCGUAGAUAUUGGGAGGAACACCAGUGGCGAAGGCGGCUACCUGGACCGGUACUGACGCUGAUGCGCGAAAGCGUGGGGAGCGAACAGG